Molecule: small nuclear RNA, 21 nt
Filed under: Arabidopsis thaliana (thale cress)
Lineage: Eukaryota; Viridiplantae; Streptophyta; Magnoliopsida; Brassicales; Brassicaceae
Description: snRNA_09658
Source: RNAcentral
UUCGAUCCACGCUCACCGCAC